UACGGAGGGUGCAAGCGUUGUCCGGAAUCACUGGGCGUAAAGGGCGCGUAGGCGGCUCAUGAAGGCUGUGGUGAAAGUCCGGGGCUCAACCUCGGAUCGGCCGUGGCGACUCGUGGGCUGGAGCACUGUAGAGGCGGGUGGAAUUCCUGGUGUAGCGGUGAAAUGCGUAGAUAUCAGGAGGAACACCUGUGGCGAAAGCGGCGCACCGGACCACAACUGACGCUGAGGCGCGAAAGCUAGGGGAGCAAACAGG
RNAcentral lists this ribosomal RNA (253 nucleotides) under uncultured bacterium. RNAcentral describes it as "partial 16S ribosomal RNA". It matches the Rfam family "Bacterial small subunit ribosomal RNA", at positions 524 to 776 of the family's 1533-position model. The record is from RNAcentral.